This 1004-nucleotide ribosomal RNA is filed under the name Chattonella tenuiplastida. RNAcentral's name for it is "Chattonella sp. 1-MI-2022 partial 28S ribosomal RNA". It matches the Rfam family "Eukaryotic large subunit ribosomal RNA", at positions 27 to 942 of the family's 3401-position model. The record is from RNAcentral. Lineage: Eukaryota; Raphidophyceae; Chattonellales; Chattonellaceae.
UCCGAAAUAUAGCAUAUAAUUAAGCGGAGGAAAAGAAACCAACUCGGAUUCCCCUAGUAACGGCGAGUGAAGCGGGAAGAGCUCAUGUUGUAAAUCUGGAUGAGGGUUCCUCGUCCCGAAUUGUAGUCUAGAGAUGCGUGCUCAGCUACUCUCCAGGGCUAAUCUGUUUGUGAAAGACAGUAUCAUGGACGGUGAUAAUCCGGUUCUUGCCUUGGAUGUUGUAGCGUUUUGAGCCGUCCUCAACGAGUCGAGUUGCUUGGGAUUGCAGCUCUAAGUGGGUGGUAAAUUCCAUCUAAAGCUAAAUAUUGGUGGGAGACCGAUAGCGAACAAGUACCGUGAGGGAAAGAUGAAAAGAACUUUGAAAAGAGAGUUAAAUAGUACCUGAAACUGCUGAAAGGGAAGCGAAUGAAGUCAGUGUUGCUCUUGGUGCUCUGCUUCCGUCCCUGCGGGGAUUGUGCAUCGAGGACUUUGAGCUUGUCAGGAUGAGUUCUCUGCCGCGGGAUAUGUUUUGUGAGCUGGACGCUUCGGCCGAACUCGCAUUCUCUGUCGUGGCUUGGACUGAGGUUCCAUCUUGCCAUUGCCUGCUCGUUGCUCUCUUGUUGCUGUCUCUGUCCUACUGCUUGCAGUGUUCAGUUGCAGUUGCUGGACUGUGCGGGUUAUGCAUGCAAGGUCAGGAUCCUGACGAAAUGGCUUUAUUUACCCCGUCUUGAAACACGGACCAAGGAGUCUAACAUACGUGCGAGUACUUUGGUGGCAAACCAAUGUGCGCAAUGAAAGUAAAGGCUGGCUUCCGUCAGCUCAGGUGGGAUCCUUAUGGAGCACCAUCGACCGACCAUUGUCCCUUCGGGGUAAAGGUUUGAGUGUGAGCAUUUAUGUUGGGACCCGAAAGAUGGUGAACUAUGCCUGAAUAGGGCGAAGCCAGGGGAAACUCUGGUGGAGGCUCGUAGCGAUUCUGACGUGAAAAUUCGUUCGUAAAACNGAUNNNUACCCGCUGAAUUUAAACA